CGCGGCCUAAAUGGCUGAACUCUGACCUCUGCCUUCCCAGCACUGCUGGGCUCCGCCAGCACCACGGGGCCUUGGUGCCAGCCACACACCCUAGGACCACCGAUGCGCCCUCCUAGCCCAGCGUUCCAGCCGCUCGCCAGAGCACGGCAUUCCGAGCCACUUGUCUUCAUUCUUCUGAUGUGGCCUUGGGGACAAGUGCUGAACUUCUGGUAACAAAAUUUGGCAUCCCUGGGUGGGCCCAUCAGUGCCCCAGUGGAAUGGCACCCUGCAACUGCUGGAAGAGAUCCUUGCCCCAAUUGGAGGUACCCCUCCACCCCUUUAAACCAGAAGACUGGGUGAUCUGAACAACAACUGGCAGAGAAGUCUAAGGGACCAUAUGAAGUGCCUCUAACAACUCAUACCUCAUUGAAAUUGUCAGGAAUAAAAACCUUAGGUCCAUCAUACCAGAGUGAAAAGGUGUCCCAUGGAAGAAGAGGACCUAAGACCCCAGUGGAUGGGCCAGUCUUUAGGCCUAAGGUUCCCAACCCCCAGGCUGUGGACCAGUGGCCUGUUAGGGACCCAUGGCCUGUUAGGGACUGGGUGGCAGAGC
Non-coding RNA from Microcebus murinus (gray mouse lemur), 589 nucleotides. The record is from RefSeq and is a predicted model, not a curated record. NCBI's taxonomy places the organism in Eukaryota, Metazoa, Chordata, Mammalia, Primates, Cheirogaleidae.